GCUUAUGGCCAUAUCAGGUUGAAAGCACCGGUUCUCAUCCGAUCACCGAAGUUAAGCAACGUCGAGCCUAGUUAGUACUUAGAUGGGUGACCGCUUGGAAAACCUAGGUGCUGUAAGGG
This 119-nucleotide ribosomal RNA is filed under the name Octopus vulgaris (common octopus). RNAcentral also lists the same sequence under 1 other name. The record is from RNAcentral. Lineage: Eukaryota; Metazoa; Mollusca; Cephalopoda; Octopoda; Octopodidae.